UACGAAGGGGGCUAGCGUUGUUCGGAAUUACUGUGCGUAAAGCGCACGUAGGCGGAUCGUUAAGUUAGAGGUGAAAUCCCAGGGCUCAACUCUGGAACUGCCUUUAAUACUGGCGAUCUUGAGUCCGAGAGAGGUGAGUGGAACUCCUAGUGUAGAGGUGGAAUUCGUAGAUAUUAGGAAGAACGCCAGUGGCGAAGGCGGCUCACUGGCUCGGUACUGACGCUGAGGUGCGAAGGCGUGGAGAGCAAACAGG
RNAcentral lists this ribosomal RNA (253 nucleotides) under uncultured bacterium. RNAcentral describes it as "partial 16S ribosomal RNA". It matches the Rfam family "Bacterial small subunit ribosomal RNA", at positions 524 to 776 of the family's 1533-position model. The record is from RNAcentral.